UACGAAGGGGGCUAGCGUUGCUCGGAAUUACUGGGCGUAAAGCGCACGUAGGCGGCUUUGUAAGUUAGAGGUGAAAGCCCGGAGCUCAACUCCGGAACUGCCUUUAAGACUGCAUCGCUUGAACGUCGGAGAGGUAAGUGGAAUUCCGAGUGUAGAGGUGAAAUUCGUAGAUAUUCGGAAGAACACCAGUGGCGAAGGCGACUUACUGGACGACUGUUGACGCUGAGGUGCGAAAGCGUGGGGAGCAAACAGG
Molecule: ribosomal RNA, 253 nt
Filed under: uncultured bacterium
Lineage: Bacteria
Description: partial 16S ribosomal RNA
Rfam family: Bacterial small subunit ribosomal RNA
Source: RNAcentral